RNAcentral lists this ribosomal RNA (253 nucleotides) under uncultured bacterium. Its description in RNAcentral is "partial 16S ribosomal RNA". It matches the Rfam family "Bacterial small subunit ribosomal RNA", at positions 524 to 776 of the family's 1533-position model. The record is from RNAcentral.
UACGGAGGGUGCAAGCGUUAUCCGGAUUCACUGGGUUUAAAGGGUGCGUAGGCGGGUUGGUAAGUCAGUGGUGAAAUCUCCGAGCUUAACUUGGAAACUGCCAUUGAUACUAUCAGUCUUGAAUAUUGUGGAGGUCAGCGGAAUAUGUCAUGUAGCGGUGAAAUGCUUAGAUAUGACAUAGAACACCGAUAGCGAAGGCAGCUUGCUACACAAUCAUUGACACUGAGGCACGAAAGCGUGGGGAGCAAACAGG